UUCUAUCAACCCUUUGAUGAUGCCACUCCAUAGUGAAGUACCUUUCCAUCAGCCCCCUGAUGAUGAUAAUCUUUUUCGUCAACCCUUUGACGAUGACACAUUUUCUUUCCGUCAACCCUUUGAUGAUGACAGUCUUUUCCAUCAACCCUUUGAUGAUGCCACUCCAUAGUGAAGUUUCUUUCCAUCAACCCUUUGACGAUGAUACUACAUAUAUAAUUCCUUUUCCACCAACCCUUUGGUGAUGUCUU
RNAcentral lists this long non-coding RNA (248 nucleotides) under Lathyrus oleraceus (garden pea). RNAcentral's name for it is "Pisum sativum (pea) long non-coding RNA (PSAT_LNC009668)". Lineage: Eukaryota; Viridiplantae; Streptophyta; Magnoliopsida; Fabales; Fabaceae. The record is from RNAcentral.